RNAcentral lists this ribosomal RNA (253 nucleotides) under uncultured bacterium. RNAcentral describes it as "partial 16S ribosomal RNA". It matches the Rfam family "Bacterial small subunit ribosomal RNA", at positions 524 to 776 of the family's 1533-position model. The record is from RNAcentral.
UACGAAGGUCCCAAGCGUUAUCCGGAUUUAUUGGGUUUAAAGGGUGCGUAGGCGGGCUAUUAAGUCAGUGGUGAAAUCUCCGAGCCUAACUCGGAAACUGCCAUUGAUACUGAUGGUCUUGAGUACAUUUGAGGUGGGCGGAAUGUGUCAUGUAGCGGUGAAAUGCUUAGAUAUGACACAGAACACCGAUUGCGAAGGCAGCUCACUAAACUGUAACUGACGCUGAGGCACGAAAGCGUGGGGAUCAAACAGG